RNAcentral lists this ribosomal RNA (253 nucleotides) under uncultured bacterium. RNAcentral describes it as "partial 16S ribosomal RNA". It matches the Rfam family "Bacterial small subunit ribosomal RNA", at positions 524 to 776 of the family's 1533-position model. The record is from RNAcentral.
UACGUAGGGGGCAAGCGUUGUCCGGAUUCAUUGGGCGUAAAGAGCGUGUAGGCGGCCAGGUAGGUCGGUUGUGAAAACUGGAGGCUCAACCUUCAGAGGUCGACCGAAACCAUCUGGCUAGAGUCCGGGAGAGGAGAGUGGAAUUCCUGGUGUAGUGGUGAAAUGCGCAGAUAUCAGGAAGAACACCCGUGGCGAAAGCGGCUCUCUGGAACGGUACUGACGCUGAGACGCGAAAGCGUGGGGAGCGAACAGG